GCCUGGCUGGCUCAGUCGGUGGAGCAUGUGACUCUUGAUCUCAGGGUUGUGAAUUCAAUCCCCAUGUUGGGCA
Molecule: transfer RNA, 73 nt
Filed under: Canis lupus familiaris (dog)
Lineage: Eukaryota; Metazoa; Chordata; Mammalia; Carnivora; Canidae
Also listed under: 1 other name
Rfam family: tRNA
About the family: Transfer RNA (tRNA) molecules are approximately 80 nucleotides in length. Their secondary structure includes four short double-helical elements and three loops (D, anti-codon, and T loops).
Source: Rfam by way of RNAcentral